GACCCGCCGUCGUUGCGUCUCGCGAGGCGCCGUUUGGCGUAUUAUCGUUAAGUCUUGGUUAGAGCAAACGGAGAGGUCGUUCCAUGCAGCAGCUUCUGUCUCUGAAGUGACAAACUCCCGGGGCAACACCUCUGCCCUAGCAACAAGCAAAAGGCCAAGGCAACCAGCAGUGACCUUACAGCUAUCACACAAGUUCAAGAGAGCUCCUUACAGAAAGGGCUUUGGCCCUUUCUCAGCCUCCUUUCAUGGAGAGAGACAUUUGUGGGUUAGUGCUGAGAAUUUGAAUCCUCAGCUUCAAAGUAUCCUCCACCAUCAAAACAAUCCUGCACAUUUGCCAUCUACCCAACACUGCAACUUCACUAUUCUGACUUUUCCAUGGGGAUAGGCCUGAGUGAGCCUGAAGUGGCAUAUU
Long non-coding RNA from Calypte anna (Anna's hummingbird), 412 nucleotides. RefSeq lists it as uncharacterized. The record is from RefSeq and is a predicted model, not a curated record. The transcript has 3 exons. NCBI's taxonomy places the organism in Eukaryota, Metazoa, Chordata, Aves, Apodiformes, Trochilidae.